UCCGCCCAGCUCCCCCGACCCCAGGCCGGGCGUGGCCAGGGAGGGUCCCGGACAAGCUCUCAGUACAUGUUCCACGGGACACGGAAGACCAGGCCCAGACGACAGGCUCUGGCCACCGCGGCUCCGCGGAGAUCAGCGCUGAGGAGCACCCCUGAGUGAGCUGGGGGGACCGACCUGGAGAGCCACGAGGCCAAUGUGACGCCAUCAGUCACCCUUCUGCUCCAGAAAAACAGGCUGCUCCGAUUCCCUGGCUCCCGCAGGGCCUCGGCGGUCACCGGGAGCGUGGGCUGCCACAGAGGAAUAAUCUCGGAGACCGUCCGCAGAUACCUGUGAGGAAUCCAUUGUGAUCAAAAAAAUCACCAUUAACAUCGGGACUGUGUGGUGCCUGGCCCAUAGCAGCUAGGAUACCAGACUUGUAAGCAAGAGAACAUUCAGAAGCUAGCCCUCAACCGGAUGGGAGCUCUGUCCAAAGCGCCACCAUGUUCUCAGCAGAGUCUGAAUCUACCACGAAGCUGCAGUCAAAGACCAUUGAGCCAGGCAUCUGAAAACCUUCAGCAGUGGAAGCAGUGACAGUGAUGUUAGCAGUAGGAGCAGGAGUACUCGUGACCCAACUUAACAACGGGAACAUCUGCCAUUAAAAUUUUAUGGGAAUUUGAACUUGAGGAAACAAUUUGAGGAACCCCACCCAAGGAGGGAGCCAUUUGUGCCUGCAUUGUAUUUAGAUGACAAGAUCUGGACUUUCCCAUCAGAUCCUCCUGAGUUUUGGGAGCAUUGCAAAAGGGUUUGGAUAUUUUUGCUUGUGGCAAGGAUGUGAACUAUUGUGCCCGGAGGGCAGCUGGGAUUUUUCAAAGACAGUCACAAUGGUAUCUCCAUCCCACAAACUGCACUGGGAACUCGCCACUCCCUCAUGAAGGGAUGAAGAUUAUUU
Mustela erminea (ermine) is the source of this 928-nucleotide long non-coding RNA. RefSeq lists it as uncharacterized. The transcript has 4 exons. Lineage: Eukaryota; Metazoa; Chordata; Mammalia; Carnivora; Mustelidae. The record is from RefSeq and is a predicted model, not a curated record.